Molecule: ribosomal RNA, 497 nt
Filed under: uncultured bacterium
Lineage: Bacteria
Description: partial 16S ribosomal RNA
Rfam family: Bacterial small subunit ribosomal RNA
Source: RNAcentral
GAUGAACGCUGGCGGCGUGCCUAAUACAUGCAAGUCGAGCGAACAGAUGAGGAGCUUGCUCCUCUGACGUUAGCGGCGGACGGGUGAGUAACACGUGGAUAACCUACCUAUAAGACUGGGAUAACUUCGGGAAACCGGAGCUAAUACCGGAUAACAUAUUGAACCGCAUGGUUCAAUAGUGAAAGACGGCUUUGCUGUCACUUAUAGAUGGAUCCGCGCCGCAUUAGCUAGUUGGUAAGGUAACGGCUUACCAAGGCAACGAUGCGUAGCCGACCUGAGAGGGUGAUCGGCCACACUGGAACUGAGACACGGUCCAGACUCCUACGGGAGGCAGCAGUAGGGAAUCUUCCGCAAUGGGCGAAAGCCUGACGGAGCAACGCCGCGUGAGUGAUGAAGGUCUUCGGAUCGUAAAACUCUGUUAUUAGGGAAGAACAAAUGUGUAAGUAACUAUGCACGUCUUGACGGUACCUAAUCAGAAAGCCACGGCUAACUACGUG